UGUGAAGGAGACCAAGUUGAGGAUCCCCAC
Molecule: non-coding RNA, 30 nt
Filed under: Homo sapiens (human)
Lineage: Eukaryota; Metazoa; Chordata; Mammalia; Primates; Hominidae
Source: RNAcentral